CGAAGUUGUAGUUUAAUAAAAUAUUAGCAUUGGAAGCUAAAGUUUAGGUGGCAAUCCUACUCUUCGA
This 67-nucleotide transfer RNA is filed under the name Charonia tritonis (giant triton snail). Its description in RNAcentral is "tRNA-Pro". The record is from RNAcentral. Lineage: Eukaryota; Metazoa; Mollusca; Gastropoda; Littorinimorpha; Ranellidae.